RNAcentral lists this long non-coding RNA (290 nucleotides) under Pelobates cultripes (western spadefoot toad). The record is from RNAcentral. Lineage: Eukaryota; Metazoa; Chordata; Amphibia; Anura; Pelobatidae.
UUUGGUCUGGCUUAUACAAUUCGGUUUUUCAUAUCAUCAACAUUCACUGUUUCGGUUAUAAAUCUCUUUAGUUUCUUGUGUUUACAGAGAAUGGUGAGAUAAGCAUAAAACCAUAACACAUUGUUAACGAAGUAACAGCUAAUACCUUUAUACGGGAAUACCCAAAAACAAAAAUUUCUGCUUUUUACAACAGUAACUGAGCACACCACAAGGCAAACCUUGAAGCAAAUAUGCUACUGUAAUGGAAGAACACUCCCGCCUGUGUACCACAUGAAGAUGAAGUUACAAUG